Mastomys coucha (southern multimammate mouse) is the source of this 259-nucleotide long non-coding RNA. RefSeq lists it as uncharacterized. The record is from RefSeq and is a predicted model, not a curated record. NCBI's taxonomy places the organism in Eukaryota, Metazoa, Chordata, Mammalia, Rodentia, Muridae. The transcript is spliced from 3 exons.
CUGACUGCAUUCACAGUAGAGCCUGGGCCCGGAGAAAUGGAGUUUGUCUUAUGGACAAGAAUUUUCAAUAAGACCUGUUCUGGGCUGGAUCUGGCAGCUGGAGCUGUAUAGCCAUGGAGAAGACAUGUGCUUUGGCCUCCAGUUACUGAUAUCCUAGUAGGGAGCAGACAGAUCUCUUAUUAAACCUCAAGCAGGGCUGGCAGCCAGCAAGUACAAGCAAUCCUCUUGUCUCUGCCUUUCAUAGCACUGUGGAUACAGG